RNAcentral lists this long non-coding RNA (3769 nucleotides) under Xyrichtys novacula (pearly razorfish). The record is from RNAcentral. Lineage: Eukaryota; Metazoa; Chordata; Actinopteri; Labriformes; Labridae.
CGGGUAUCAGGUUAUGGGGCUAUGGUAAGGUUUAAGGUUUUUGACGUUAGGGUGAAAAUAACUUUCCAAAACCUUUGUAGGAACUCUUUUCCAACCUUAUGGAGUUCGUUAGACCAAAAAAAAAAGAAAAAUGAAAAAAAAAUAUUUGGGGUGUUCGGGCUUCCUGAAGGUAAUACCCGGGUAUUAGGUUUUGGUGCUAGGGUAAGGUUUGAGGUUUUUGGCAUUAGGGUUAAAAUCACUGUCCAAAACCUUUUUAGGAACACCUUUCAGACCUUUUGGAGUUUGUACACCAAAAAAAAAAAUGUAAAAUGAAAAAAAAAAAAAAUUGGGGUGUUCGGGCUUCCUGAAGGUAAUACCCGGGUAUCAGGUUAUGGGGCUAUGGUAAGGUUUAAGGUUUUUGGCGUUAGGGUUAAAAUCACUGUCCAAAACCUUUGUAGGAACUCUUUUCCAAACACGGAGUCAGUUAGACCAAAAAAAAAUGAAAAAUGAAAUAAAAAAUAUUUGGGGUGUUCAGGCUUCCUGAAGGUAAUACCCGGGUAUUAGGUUAUGGGGCUUAGGAAAUGUUUAAGGUUUUUGGCGUUAGGGUUAAAAUCACUGUCCAAAAACCUUUGUAGGAACUCUUUUCCAACCUUUUGGAGUUAGGUUGACCAAAAAAAAAAAGAAAAAAGAAAAAAAAUAUUUGGGGUGUUCGGGCUUCCUGAAGGUAAUACCCGGGUAUUAGGUUUUGGGGCUAGGGUAAGGUUUGAGGUUUUUGGCAUUAGGGUUAAAAUCACUGUCCAAAACCUUUUUAGGAACACGUUUCAGACCUUUUGGAGUUUGUACACCGAAAAAAAAAAUGUAAAAUUAAAAAAAAAUAUUUGGGGUGUUCGGGCUUCCUGAAGGUAAUACCCGGGUAUCAGGUUAUGGGGCUAUGGUAAGGUUUAAGGUUUUUGGCGUUACGGUUAAAAUCACUGUCCAAAACCUUUGUAGGAACUGUUUCUAAACUUUUGGAGUCAGUUAGACCCAAAAAAAAGAGAAAUGAAAAAAAAAUAUUUGGGGUUUUCAGGCUUCCUGGAGGUAAUACCCUAAUAUUAGGUUUUGGGGCUAGGGUAAGGUUUGAGGUUUUUGGCGUUAGGGUUAAAAUCACUGUCCAAAACCUUUUUAGGAACAUGUUUCAGACCUUUUGGAGUUGGUUACAUACAAAAAAAAUGUAAAAUGAAAAAAAAAAUAUUUGGGGUGUUCGGGCUUCCUGAAGGUAAUACCCGGGUAUUAGGUUAUGGGGCUAUGGUAAGGUUUAAGGUUUUUGAUGUUAGGGUGAAAAUAACUUUCCAAAACCUUUGUAGGAACUCUUUUCCAACCUUAUGGAGUUCGUAAGACCAAAAAAAAAAGAAAAAUGAAAAAAAAAUAUUUGGGGUGUUCGGGCUUCCUGAAGGUAAUACCCGGGUAUUAGGUUAUGGGGCUUAGGAAAUGUUUAAGGUUUUUGGCGUUAGGAUUAAAAUCACUGUCCAAAAACCUUUGUAGGAACUCUUUUCCAACCUUUUGGAGUAAGGUUGACCAAAAAAAAAAAGAAAAAAGAAAAAAAAAUAUUUGGGGUGUUCGGGCUUCCUGAAGGUAAUACCCGGGUAUUAGGUUUUGGUGCUAGGGUAAGGUUUGAGGUUUUUGGCAUUAGGGUUAAAAUCACUGUCCAAAACCUUUUUAGGAACACCUUUCAGACCUUUUGGAGUUUGUACACCAAAAAAAAAAUGUAAAAUGAAAAAAGAAAAUUUGGGGUGUUCGGGCUUCCUGAAGGUAAUACCCGGGUAUCAGGUUAUGGGGCUAUGGUAAGGUUUAAGGUUUUUGGCGUUAGGGUUAAAAUCACUGUCCAAAACCUUUGUAGGAACUCUUUUCCAAACUUUUGGAGUCAGUUAGACCAAAAAAAAAUGAAAAAUGAAAUAAAAAAUAUUUGGGGUGUUCGGGCUUCCUGAAGGUAAUACCCGGGUAUUAGGUUUUGGUGCUAGGGUAAGGUUUGAGGUUUUUGGCAUUAGGGUUAAAAUCACUGUCCAAAACCUUUUUAGGAACACCUUUCAGACCUUUUGGAGUUUGUACACCAAAAAAAAAAUGUAAAAUGAAAAAAAAAAAUUUGGGGUGUUCGGGCUUCCUGAAGGUAAUACCCGGGUAUCAGGUUAUGGGGCUAUGGUAAGGUUUAAGGUUUUUGGCGUUAGGGUUAAAAUCACUGUCCAAAACCUUUGUAGGAACUCUUUUCCAAACUUUUGGAGUCAGUUAGACCAAAAAAAAAUGAAAAAUGAAAUAAAAAAUAUUUGGGGUGUUCGGGCUUCCUGAAGGUAAUACCCGGGUAUUAGGUUUUGGUGCUAGGGUAAGGUUUGAGGUUUUUGGCAUUAGGGUAAAAAUCACUGUCCAAAAACCUUUGUAGGAACUCUUUUCCAACCUUUUGGAGUUAGUUAGACCAAAAAAAAAAGAAAAAAGGAAUAAAAAAUAUUUGGGGUGUUCGGGCUUCCUGAAGGUAAUACCCGGGUAUUAGGUUUUGGGGCUAGGGUAAGGUUUGAGGUUUUUGGCAUUAGGGUUAAAAUCACUGUCCAAAACCUUUUUAGGAACACCUUUCAGACCUUUUGGAGUUUGUACACCGAAAAAAAAUGUAAAAUUAAAAAAAAAUAUUUGGGGUGUUCGGGCUUCCUGAAGGUAAUACCCGGGUAUCAGGUUAUGGGGCUAUGGUAAGGUUUAAGGUUUUUGGCGUUAGGGUUAAAAUCACUGUCCAAAACCUUUGUAGGAACUGUUUCUAAACUUUUGGAGUUCGUUAGACCCAAAAAAAAGAGAAAUGAAAAAAAAAUAUUUGGGGUUUUCAGGCUUCCUGGAGGUAAUACCCUAAUAUUAGGUUUUGGGGCUAGGGUAAGGUUUGAGGUUUUUGGCGUUAGGGUUAAAAUCACUGUCCAAAACCUUUUUAGGAACAUGUUUCAGACCUUUUGGAGUUGGUUACAUACAAAAAAAAUGUAAAAUGAAAAAAAAUAUAUUUGGGGUGUUCGGGCUUCCUGAAGGUAAUACCCGGGUAUUAGGUUAUGGGGCUAUGGUAAGGUUUAAGGUUUUUGACGUUAGGGUGAAAAUAACUUUCCAAAACCUUUGUAGGAACUCUUUUCCAACCUUAUGGAGUUCGUUAGACCAAAAAAAAAAGAAAAAUGAAAAAAAAAUAUUUGGGGUGUUCGGGCUUCCUGAAGGUAAUACCCGGGUAUCAGGUUAUGGGGCUAUGGUAAGGUUUAAGGUUUUUGGCGUUACGGUUAAAAUCACUGUCCAAAACCUUUGUAGGAACUGUUUCUAAACUUUUGGAGUCAGUUAGACCCAAAAAAAAGAGAAAUGAAAAAAAAAUAUUUGGGGUUUUCAGGCUUCCUGGAGGUAAUACCCUAAUAUUAGGUUUUGGGGCUAGGGUAAGGUUUGAGGUUUUUGGCGUUAGGGUUAAAAUCACUGUCCAAAACCUUUUUAGGAACAUGUUUCAGACCUUUUGGAGUUGGUUACAUACAAAAAAAAUGUAAAAUGAAAAAAAAAAUAUUUGGGGUGUUCGGGCUUCCUGAAGGUAAUACCCGGGUAUUAGGUUAUGGGGCUAUGGUAAGGUUUAAGGUUUUUGACGUUAGGGUGAAAAUAACUUUCCAAAACCUUUGUAGGAACUCUUUUCCAACCUUAUGGAGUUCGUUAGACCAAAAAAAAAAGAAAAAUGAAAAAAAAAUAUUUGGGGUGUUCGGGCUUCCUGAAGGUAAUACCCGGGUACUAUUUAGGUUAUGGGGCUUAGGAAAUGUUUAAGGUUUUU